AGAGUUUGAUCCUGGCUCAGGACGAACGCUGGCGGCGUGCCUAAUACAUGCAAGUAGAACGCUGAAGAGAGGAGCUUGCUCUUCUUGGAUGAGUUGCGAACGGGUGAGUAACGCGUAAUCAACCUGCCCUUCAGAGGGGGACAACAGUUGGAAACGACUGCUAAUACCGCAUACGAUCCAACCUCGGCAUCGAGGAUGGAUGAAAGGUGGCCUCUAUUUAUAAGCUAUCACUGAAGGAGGGGAUUGCGUCUGAUUAGCUAGUUGGAGGGGUAACGGCCCACCAAGGCAAUGAUCAGUAGCCGGUCUGAGAGGAUGAACGGCCACAUUGGGACUGAGACACGGCCCAGACUCCUACGGGAGGCAGCAGUGGGGAAUCUUCCGCAAUGGACGAAAGUCUGACGGAGCAACGCCGCGUGAGUGAUGACGGCCUUCGGGUUGUAAAGCUCUGUUAAUCGGGACGAAAGGUCCUCUUGCGAAUAGUUAGAGGAAUUGACGGUACCGGAAUAGAAAGCCACGGCUAACUACGUGCCAGCAGCCGCGGUAAUACGUAGGUGGCAAGCGUUGUCCGGAAUUAUUGGGCGUAAAGCGCGCGCAGGCGGAUCAGUCAGUCUGUCUUAAAAGUUCGGGGCUUAACCCCGUGAUGGGAUGGAAACUGCUGAUCUAGAGUAUCGGAGAGGAAAGUGGAAUUCCUAGUGUAGCGGUGAAAUGCGUAGAUAUUAGGAAGAACACCAGUGGCGAAGGCGACUCUCUGGUCUGUAACUGACGCUGAGGCUCGAAAGCGUGGGUAGCAAACAGGAUUAGAUACCCUGGUAGUCCACGCCGUAAAC
RNAcentral lists this ribosomal RNA (827 nucleotides) under uncultured bacterium. RNAcentral describes it as "bacterial SSU rRNA". It matches the Rfam family "Bacterial small subunit ribosomal RNA", at positions 8 to 807 of the family's 1533-position model. The record is from RNAcentral.